CCCUUAGAUGUUCUGGGCCGCACGCGUGCUACACUGAGUAAUUCAAUGGGUAAGGGAACGCUAGAGCAUUACCUAAUCUUGAAAUUUGCUCGUGAUGGGGAUCGACGGUUGCAAUUUUCCGUCGUGAACGAGGAAUACCUUGUAGGCGCAUGUCAUCAUCAUGCGCCGAAUACGUCCCUGCCCUUUGUACACACCGCCCGUCGCUCCUACCGAUUGAGUGAUCCGGUGAGGCUCUGGGACCUGGACGGAAAGAGCGCUUCGCUUGUUCUGUUUGGGAAACUUGGUCGAACCUUAUCAUUGAGAGGAAGGAGAAGUCGUAACA
RNAcentral lists this ribosomal RNA (322 nucleotides) under uncultured eukaryote. Its description in RNAcentral is "partial 18S ribosomal RNA". It matches the Rfam family "Eukaryotic small subunit ribosomal RNA", at positions 1470 to 1796 of the family's 1831-position model. The record is from RNAcentral.